Molecule: non-coding RNA, 22 nt
Filed under: Rattus norvegicus (Norway rat)
Lineage: Eukaryota; Metazoa; Chordata; Mammalia; Rodentia; Muridae
Source: RNAcentral
GUCCAUGGUGGCGCUGAAGCAU